This 83-nucleotide transfer RNA is filed under the name Chloroflexota bacterium. RNAcentral's name for it is "Chloroflexi bacterium (activated sludge metagenome) tRNA-Leu". It matches the Rfam family "tRNA". From Rfam's summary of the family: Transfer RNA (tRNA) molecules are approximately 80 nucleotides in length. RNAcentral also lists the same sequence under 1 other name. The record is from RNAcentral. Lineage: Bacteria; Bacillati; Chloroflexota.
GGGGGAGUGGCGGAAUUGGCAGACGCGCAUGAUUUAGGAUCAUGUGGGCAUGGCCCGUGGGAGUUCGAGUCUCCCCUUCCCCA